RNAcentral lists this unclassified non-coding RNA (228 nucleotides) under plant metagenome. RNAcentral's name for it is "partial contains small subunit ribosomal RNA, internal transcribed spacer 1, and 5.8S ribosomal RNA". The record is from RNAcentral.
UUUCCGUAGGUGAACCUGCGGAAGGAUCAUUACAGAGUUUUUUUCUGAAAGUUUUAGGACUGAAGGAAAAAUACAUUUUACAUAAAACACCUUGUGAAUUUAAUUCCUGUUGCUUUGGUGGGGAGAUUAUUUUCCCCACCAGAGGAUUAAAAAACAUCAUUAUUUUUUCUGAUUUAAUAUUUUAAAUAAAAUACAAAAAAACUUUCAGCAACGGAUCUCUUGGCUCUC